GGAGCAACACAAUGAAGGGUGUGAGUCAUGAGACAAAGAGGCACAAAAAGUAUGGGAGGUGGGACAAUGUGGUACAGGAAGCAGGAGACUCUGACCCCCCUGUCCCCCUCUAUAGUGUGCUAAACAACAGAAACAAAUACGAUGUUUGAAGAUUUGGGUAUUGAUGUGAUAAGGCAGCGUUUGAGGGUUACAAUGCCUGUAUUUUUGCUCAUGGUCAGAUGGGGGCCAGUAAAUCCUACAGUAUGAUGUGACAGGAGAUCCAAACCUUCAUUAAUCGUGCAUGGAAAUCAGAGAGAGGUGAAGGCUCAACUUCAUCCAUAUCCAAAUGUUAAACUGUUUGCUCUAAGUUUGAUGUUUGUGCAGUCACUAGUAUCAAGAUAUGUCCAGAAGUGCAUACAGUAACCAAAAUGGCGCAAAUU
This 419-nucleotide long non-coding RNA is filed under the name Pocillopora damicornis (cauliflower coral). Its description in RNAcentral is "uncharacterized LOC113682238, transcript variant X1". The record is from RNAcentral. Lineage: Eukaryota; Metazoa; Cnidaria; Anthozoa; Scleractinia; Pocilloporidae.